GACGAACGCUGGCGGCGUGGAUUAGGCAUGCAAGUCGAGCGGGAUCCGCUUCUUUCAAUUCUUCGGAAGAGAAUUUUGCGGUGAGAGCGGCGAACGGGUGAGUAAUGCGCAAACAACUUGCCCCUAGGUUGGGGAUAGCCCUUCGAAAGGGGGAUUAAUACCGGAUGUGGUCGUCCCGCAUAAGCGGGAUUUUCUAAAGGUGCCUCGCAAGAGGUGUCGCCUAGGGAUGGGUUUGCGUUCCAUCAGCUUGUUGGUGGGGUAACGGCUCACCAAGGCUAUGACGGAUAGCUGGUCUGAGAGGAUGGUCAGCCACACUGGGACUGAGACACUGCCCAGACUCCUACGGGAGGCUGCAGUCGAGAGUCAUUCACAAUGCGCGAAAGCGUGAUGAUGCGACGCCGCGUGGAGGAUGAAGGCCUUCGGGUUGUAAACUCCUGUCAUGAGGGAACAAAGCUGUCGGGUUAAUACCCCGGCAGUGUGAUGGUACCUCAAGAGGAAGUCACGGCUAACUCUGU
RNAcentral lists this ribosomal RNA (515 nucleotides) under uncultured bacterium. RNAcentral's name for it is "bacterial SSU rRNA". It matches the Rfam family "Bacterial small subunit ribosomal RNA", at positions 28 to 506 of the family's 1533-position model. The record is from RNAcentral.